AUUGAACGCUGGCGGAAUGCUUUACACAUGCAAGUCGAGCGGCAGCGCGGUCUUCGGACUGGCGGCGAGCGGCGAACGGGUGAGUAAUACAUCGGAACAUGCCCAGUCGUGGGGGAUAACACUUCGAAAGAAGUGCUAAUACCGCAUACGUCCUGAGGGAGAAAGCGGGGGAUCGCAAGACCUCGCGCGAUUGGAGUGGCCGAUGUCAGAUUAGCUAGUUGGUGGGGUAAAGGCCUACCAAGGCAACGAUCUGUAGCUGGUCUGAGAGGAUGAUCAGCCACACUGGGACUGAGACACGGCCCAGACUCCUACGGGAGGCAGCAGUGGGGAAUUUUGGACAAUGGGGGCAACCCUGAUCCAGCCAUUCCGCGUGAGUGAAGAAGGCCUUCGGGUUGUAAAGCUCUUUCGGCAGGAACGAAACGGUGAGCUCUAACAUAGCUCGCUAAUGACGGUA
RNAcentral lists this ribosomal RNA (454 nucleotides) under uncultured bacterium. RNAcentral describes it as "bacterial SSU rRNA". It matches the Rfam family "Bacterial small subunit ribosomal RNA", at positions 30 to 477 of the family's 1533-position model. The record is from RNAcentral.